UACGGAGGGUGCAAGCGUUAUCCGGAUUCACUGGGUUUAAAGGGUGUGUAGGCGGAUUUUUAAGUCAGUGGUGAAAUCUCCGGGCUCAACCCGGAAACUGCCAUUGAUACUAUUAGUCUUGAAUUCUGUUGAGGUGGGCGGAAUACAUCAUGUAGCGGUGAAAUGCUUAGAUAUGUGGAGGAACACCAAUGGCGAAGGCAGCCCCCUGGGUCAACACUGACGCUCAUGCACGAAAGCGUGGGGAGCAAACAGG
This 253-nucleotide ribosomal RNA is filed under the name uncultured bacterium. RNAcentral describes it as "partial 16S ribosomal RNA". It matches the Rfam family "Bacterial small subunit ribosomal RNA", at positions 524 to 776 of the family's 1533-position model. The record is from RNAcentral.